Lolium perenne is the source of this 677-nucleotide non-coding RNA. NCBI's taxonomy places the organism in Eukaryota, Viridiplantae, Streptophyta, Magnoliopsida, Poales, Poaceae. The record is from RefSeq and is a predicted model, not a curated record.
GUGUCCGGCUUCUCGGACAGGGGGUUCCUACACUUAGGCAGAUUCUGCAUGUAUAGGGGGGAACUCCCUCGGAGUUGAACCGGAGAGAAACUUGAGAUCAUAUGUGAUGAUCCUUGUUUCCAAAUGUACAUAUGACCUAACCAAGCUCAAAUGGAGGCAUAUGCCCACCGGGGGAGCCCCGAUGGGAUGCAGUCAAAGGGGUAGACCGCGCGGUCAACAGAACUAGGGUUUCGUCAAAAAUCAAGCAUCGGAUCUAGGGAAUGGCCCCAAAACUUGUGUGUGUCCACAUGGAAUGCACAAAAGUGAUUUGAGAUGGUUCUAUAUCCAAGGCUACCCCCCCAGGUGUGUCCGGCUUCUCGGACAGGGGGUUCCUACACUUAGGCAGAUUCUGCAUGUAUAGGGGGGAACUCCCUCGGAGUUGAACCGGAGAGAAACUUGAGAUCAUAUGUGAUGAUCCUUGUUUCCAAAUGUACAUAUGACCUAACCAAGCUCAAAUGGAGGCAUAUGCCCACCGGGGGAGCCCCGAUGGGAUGCAGUCAAAGGGGUAGACCGCGCGGUCAACAGAACUAGGGUUUCGUCAAAAAUCAAGCAUCGGAUCUAGGGAAUGGCCCCAAAACUUGUGUGUGUCCACAUGGAAUGCACAAAAGUGAUUUGAGAUGGUUCUAUAUCCAAGGCUA